Gasterosteus aculeatus aculeatus (three-spined stickleback) is the source of this 925-nucleotide long non-coding RNA. Lineage: Eukaryota; Metazoa; Chordata; Actinopteri; Perciformes; Gasterosteidae. The record is from Ensembl.
UUUUCUCCCGCUUGGUUUGCAGGUUGCGGAGAGUGACAGCAAUGAGGAAAAAAGAUGUCAGGUAUGCCCUCAGCAAGCUGCAGCGCAUGCUAACAAGGCCCUGAGGUGGAUGGAGAUGUACAGGCUGCACCAGCAGCAGAGAUUAGUUGGAACCCCCUUCAUGCCAGUUACUGAUGCUCCUGUUGAUGCUGCACCAGUCCAGGCUGCUGGCGUCCCUCCUGCUGCUGCCCAAGCUGUCGGAGACGCAUCGGAGGAGGAGACAGAGGCUGGCAACCCUGCACCCAAAGACGCCGUCCCCCUAAGCUCUGAUGAGGUCGAGGAGGCCGAGGAGGUUGAGGAGGUUGAGGAGGUGGAGGCAGCUGAGGCUGAACCUGCAGCAGCUGUUGAGCUGGCCGUGGUUGACGCCCCAGUGGACGCUGCAGCCGCUGAAGCUACAGUUGUGGACGUGCCUCCUGUUGACGCGGUUCUCGUUGACGCUGUCCCUGCAGCCCCUGAGGUGGCUGUUGAUGCGGCCGCCCCGGCCGCUGCUGACGUCCCUGUUGCUGCUACUGCUGAUGCCGCUGCCGUUGAUGCCGCUGCUGCCGUCCCUGCUGCUGCCGGUAUCGUUGAUGCCGCUGCCGUUGAUGUCGUUGCCGUUGAUGCCACUGAUGCCGGUGUUGUUGAUGCCGUUGAUGCCGGUGCCGCUGAUGCCGCUGCUGCUGAUGCCGCUGCUGCCUCACUGGCAGCUGAGAUUGACACAACUGGAGUGGCAGCAGAUCCUGUUGCAGUGUAGUUCCUUCUUGUCAUCCCCAGCCUCUUUUCCUAGCAGUGGAAACAGCCACUGUGUGUGUGUGUGUGUGUGUGUGUGCAGUGCAAAAGUAAGCUGUGUCACAUUGAUUCAUCAAGAAUGAACAACAAGUUGUGUGUUUUUAGUUAAGAAUUGGAC